GAGCGGUAACAGCUCAAAUUUGAAAUCUGGCUCUUGCGGAGUCCGAGUUGUAAUUUGUAGAAGAUGCUUUGGGUUGUGGGUUCGGCCUAAGUUCCUUGGAACAGGACGUCAUAGAGGGUGAGAAUCCCGUAUGUGGCCGAGGCCCGCGCCUAUGUAAAGCUCUUUCAACGAGUCGAGUUGUUUGGGAAUGCAGCUCAAAAUGGGUGGUAAAUUUCAUCUAAAGCUAAAUAUGGGCCAGAGACCGAUAGCGCACAAGUAGAGUGAUCGAAAGAUGAAAAGCACUUUGGAAAGAGAGUUAAACAGUACGUGAAAUUGUUGAAAGGGAAGCGCUUGCAACCAGACUUGGGCGCUGCCGAUCACCUUGAGUUUUCUCGAGUGCACUCGACAGCGCACAGGCCAGCAUCGGUUCGGGUGGCUGGAGAAAGGCCGUAGGAAUGUGGCUCUCUUCGGGGAGUGUUAUAGCCUACGGUGCCAUGCAGCCCAGCCGGACCGAGGACCGCGCCUUCGGGCUAGGAUGCUGGCGUAAUGGUUGUAAGCGACCCGUCUUGAAACACGGACCAAGGAGUCUAACAUCUAUGCGAGUGUUUGGGUGGUAAACCCAUACGCGGAAUGAAAGUGAACGUAGGUGAGAACCCCUUUGGGGCGCAUCAUCGACCGAUCCUGAUGUCUUCGGAUGGAUUUGAGUAGACUA
Molecule: ribosomal RNA, 691 nt
Filed under: Erysiphe quercicola
Lineage: Eukaryota; Fungi; Ascomycota; Leotiomycetes; Helotiales; Erysiphaceae
Description: eukaryotic LSU rRNA
Rfam family: Eukaryotic large subunit ribosomal RNA
Source: RNAcentral